This 408-nucleotide long non-coding RNA is filed under the name Androctonus crassicauda. Lineage: Eukaryota; Metazoa; Arthropoda; Arachnida; Scorpiones; Buthidae. The record is from RNAcentral.
UAUACAUGGAGUUUGUCCACUGACUCAGGCAUUUGUCCUAAAUAUCUGUUUUCAAAACUUGUAUCAUUGGGGUAGGGGUUGGGUGCAGCUCAGUGGCAAAGCUCGUAUAUAGCACAUGCAAGGCUCUGGGUUUGGUCUCCAGCACUAUAAUAGCCAUGGAAGACAGGUUAUCAUGCAUAAACAUGGAAUUACUGUGAAGGCCUUUCUAACUGUCUCGACUUUUGCCCUGGUCACUGUAGCCAAGAAAUGUCCAGAGUAGAUGGGUUGCCACAGUUUUGGGAAUUAAGUCACUUUUUCUUGUGUUUCAUGAAGCAAAAGCAGGACUCUUCAGACUGCUCUGAGUAGCCUACGUUACAGAUCUGGGGUUUGUCCAGCUGUAACUACUGUGAAGCAGGCAGCUAGCACUGG